RNAcentral lists this ribosomal RNA (253 nucleotides) under uncultured bacterium. RNAcentral describes it as "partial 16S ribosomal RNA". It matches the Rfam family "Bacterial small subunit ribosomal RNA", at positions 524 to 776 of the family's 1533-position model. The record is from RNAcentral.
UACAGAGGUCUCAAGCGUUGUCCGGAUUCAUUGGGCGUAAAGAGCGUGUAGGCGGCCAGGUAGGUCGGUUGUGAAAACUGGAGGCUCAACCUUCAGAGGUCGACCGAAACCAUCUGGCUAGAGUCCGGGAGAGGAGAGUGGAAUUCCUGGUGUAGCGGUGAAAUGCGUAGAUAUCGAGAGGAACACCUGCGGCGAAGGCGGGUAGCUGGGCCGACACUGACGCUGAUGCGCGAAAGCCAGGGGAGCGAACGGG